AGAGUUUGAUUAUGGCUCAGGAUGAACGCUAGCGACAGGCUAACACAUGCAAGUCGAGGGGCAUCACGGGAGUAGCAAUACAACUGGUGGCGACCGGCGCACGGGUGAGUAACGCGUAUGCAACCUACCUAUCAGAGGGGAAUAACCCGGCGAAAGUCGGACUAAUACCGCAUAAAACAGGGGCACCGCAUGGUGAUAUUUGUUAAAGAAAUUCGCUGAUAGAUGGGCAUGCGUUCCAUUAGGUAGUUGGUGAGGUAACGGCUCACCAAGCCGACGAUGGAUAGGGGAACUGAGAGGUUGGUCCCCCACACUGGUACUGAGACACGGACCAGACUCCUACGGGAGGCAGCAGUGAGGAAUAUUGGUCAAUGGGCGGGAGCCUGAACCAGCCAAGUCGCGUGAAGGAAGAAGGAUCUAUGGUUCGUAAACUUCUUUGCAGGGGAAUAAAGUGCAGGACGUGUCCUGUUUUGUAUGUACCCUGAGAAUAAGGAUCGGCUAACUCCGUGCCAGCCGCCGC
This 517-nucleotide ribosomal RNA is filed under the name uncultured bacterium. Its description in RNAcentral is "bacterial SSU rRNA". It matches the Rfam family "Bacterial small subunit ribosomal RNA", at positions 8 to 518 of the family's 1533-position model. The record is from RNAcentral.